GGGGCCAUGGCUCAGUGAUUGAGCACCUUCUUGGAAAGCAGAAGUUCCAGGUUUAAUCCCUGCCAUCUCCA
This 71-nucleotide transfer RNA is filed under the name Sphaerodactylus townsendi. Its description in RNAcentral is "tRNA-Ser". The record is from RNAcentral. Lineage: Eukaryota; Metazoa; Chordata; Lepidosauria; Squamata; Sphaerodactylidae.